Molecule: ribosomal RNA, 253 nt
Filed under: uncultured bacterium
Lineage: Bacteria
Description: partial 16S ribosomal RNA
Rfam family: Bacterial small subunit ribosomal RNA
Source: RNAcentral
UACAGAGGUCUCGAGCGUUGUUCGGAUUCAUUGGGCGUAAAGGGUGCGUAGGUGGCGCUGUAAGUCGGGUGUGAAAUCCUGAGGCUUAACCUCGGAACUGCAUUCGAUACUGCGGCGCUUGAGGACUGGAGAGGAGACUGGAAUUCAUGGUGUAGCAGUGAAAUGCGUAGAUAUCGUAAGGAAGACCAGUGGCGAAGGCGGGUCUCUGGACAGUUCCUGACACUGAGGCACGAAGGCCAGGGGAGCAAACGGG